GACGAACGCUGGCGGCGUGCUUAACACAUGCAAGUCGAACGGAAAGGCCCUGCUUUUGUGGGGUGCUCGAUUGGCGAACGGGUGAGUAACACGUGAGUAACCUGCCCUUGACUUUGGGAUAACUUCAGGAAACUGGGGCUAAUACCGGGUAUGAGCUCCUGCUGCAUGUUGUGGGUUGGAAAGUUUCGGCGGUUGGGGAUGGACUCGCGGCUUAUCAGCUUGUUGGUGGGGUAGUGGCUUACCAAGGCUUUGACGGGUAGCCGGCCUGAGAGGGUGACCGGCCACAUUGGGACUGAGAUACGGCCCAGAAUGCUACGGGAGGCAGCAGUGGGGAAUAUUGCACAAUGGGCGGAAGCCUGAUGCAGCAACGCCGCGUGCGGGAUGACGGCCUUCGGGUUGUAAACCGCUUUCGCCUGUGACGAAGCGUGAGUGACGGUAAUGGGUAAAGAAGCACCGGCUAACUACGUG
This 468-nucleotide ribosomal RNA is filed under the name uncultured bacterium. Its description in RNAcentral is "partial 16S ribosomal RNA". It matches the Rfam family "Bacterial small subunit ribosomal RNA", at positions 28 to 507 of the family's 1533-position model. The record is from RNAcentral.